RNAcentral lists this long non-coding RNA (202 nucleotides) under Brassica napus (rape). Its description in RNAcentral is "long non-coding RNA (BNAP_LNC025609)". The record is from RNAcentral. Lineage: Eukaryota; Viridiplantae; Streptophyta; Magnoliopsida; Brassicales; Brassicaceae.
CAAAACUCUGGUUGACAUAGAAUCUGUCUGCAGAUGAUCAUUCUCCUUCACAACCAUAUGCCCUUUUGUAAUCUUCAAAACAGAUUUCAUCAUCUUCUUCCUCAUCCUCGUCUUUAACCUUUCCAUACUCACUAUAAUCCUCAGCAUCAGCGACAAUAGGGAUGUCAGCAUCCUCCUCCCCAUCAUGAUCCUCAGCUUCAUC